UUCUGCUACUCCACCAUCUGCUCAGAGUCUUGUACUCCGAUAUUUUGAAAUUUAUACUUAGUUUAACUCUGAAGUUAAUCAACAUCGCCAUCCUCCUUCAGCAUAAUACAAGGUCUUCCCAGGAUUCUUUUCCACAGUUAAAGGUUGUGUUGAUGGAUCCAUGUAAACCCCACUUUCUUGGUUCCCCUUUGCUUCUUGCAUCCAUUGAUUCUGCUGGGUGCAAUUUUCUUUUCGCUAGAAUGGUAAACUCAGUCUUCGUUCCCUCUGAAACGUCUUUAUUUCACUUUCUCUCAUGAAUAAUAGAUUAUCAGAGUGGAUAAGUCUAAGUGGAGGUAUUUCCUCUGAGCAUUUACAGAUAUUAUUCUGUUGUCUUCCAGCAUAAUUUUCUAGAACCUUUCAUCACUGAUGAGCUGUCUGGUGUCAUUCCUUACUUUGGUGUCUGCUGAUAAACUCAACAACCAAUAACAGAGAAACCUCAGGCUGAGAGAAUACAAGCAGAGUUAGAAUUCAAUCCCAGAUGUUUCAAAAUACAAAGCCUACUUUGACUAUGACAUCAUGCCAUCUCCUAAAUGCUACAGAGCAGUCACAAGAUCACUUCUCCCUCAAACUAACCUGGGAUCUCCUCUCCUUCCCAGUUCACAUGCACUUCUGAAUUAUGAGAGGGCCUGGCAGCCCCUCAUCCAUCCUCUCACUGGCACUUUCCCAAGGUUUCGUUUGUAAGUAUUACUGUGUGUUUGCGGGACCAGACUUAGAAAAUAGCCAGCGCUGGGGCCACCUGGGGGGCGCAGUCGUUAAGUGUCCGACCCUUGAUCUCAGCUCAGGUCAUGAUCUCAUGGUUCGUGGGUUUGAGCCCUGCAUCGGGGUUGUACUGAUAAUGUGGGGCCUCCUUGGGAUUCUCUCUCUCUCUCUCUCUCUCUCUCUCUCUCUCUGCCCUUCCCUCCCUUAAUAAAUAAAUAAACAUUAAAAAAAAAAAAAAACCAACACUAAGAUCAUAUAAGAGCCCUCCUUAGGAGUGUGAAAAUUCAAAUGAAAUGUAGGAGUCUUUUUUUAUUGUUAGUGUUCUUUUUUAUUUUUGUGUGUUUCUACUUUAUCCAUUGUAUGUGGACUUUGAGUUCGGCUGUAAUUUUACCUAAAGAAAGGGCUGCUCUUUGCCCUAAGCUUCUAAGAGGUGAUUUUCAAGCUCUUGGAAUGUCUUGUCUGGUCAGAGUAUCUUUGUUUAUCUGGGGGCCUGGGGUCAUGCUAGGUAGUCUACACUAGGCAUGUGAUUUAGGGUAGAGGCUUUGGGCUACACUGUAUUUGCUUGACCUUCAGAGGAGCUGGAAACUAAAGUCAGCCACUCAGCAGUCAGCUGUCUAGGAGACUGAGCCCCAGGAAAAACUCUGGACCUCGAGGCUCAGGUUGAGCUUCCUAGGUUGGCAGCGCUCCAUGCCUAUUCUCGCGCAUCAUUGACGGGUGAUAUUAGCUCAGACCACUACUUGAGUGACAGAGGGCAGCUGGAAGCUCUGGGCAUGGAACUUUCCUCAAGUCUGUCCCAUGUGCCUCUUCCUUAUGCUGAUUUUCAUCUGUGUCCUUCCGCUGUAAGAAACCAUACUAUUAACAGCUUUCAGUGAAUUCUGUGGGUCCUUCUAGUGAGUGGUCAAACUGAAGGUGGCCUUGGGAACCCCUGCAUUUACAAUUGGUGACAGAAAUGGGGGUGGUCUUGGGGACUCCUGAACUUUGUUGUGGUACAUCUGUUUUCAAAGCCCAGCCUCACCAUUUCUCAUUUUCUUAUCUGAAAAAUAGUGGUAACUGUGUUUACAGGGUUAUUGUGAUGGCUGAGUAAAGUGACAAAUAUGAAACAUCUGGAAUGGGGCCUUGCCUGUUACAGGCCUUUAAUAAAGGUUCUUUCCUAAAGGUGCUGAUAAUUUGACUUUUCCGUAAAGAAUACUACAGUAGCAUGUGGAGGAAUGUUUGCAAAGACUAUCUCCAAUGGUGAUAUUAAUAAAUAGCUCUUGACUUGCUCUUUUUCAACUGCUAUGCAGAAUUUCCUCCUUAUUUUUAACUCUUGCGUAUGUAGAAAUAUGAUGCCUUUGAAUGAUUAGAACUUUCCCAGUAGCUACAGAGUAUUUAUCAUUUAAAAGCUGGAAUAACUUCAGCACAGCAUGGUUGAGGCAUGAGAUUGACAGGCCAAAGUGGUAAGAAUUUUUGUGUGGGACAUUUGGAGUUUGAAGUAGCUAUGGAUAUUCUAUAUAGACUUUCCGUGUGGAAGAUACCGUGAAACUAAUGGGACGUCAAUUUUCAUCUACAAAAAAAGAAAAAGUGUGCUCACCUAU
Molecule: long non-coding RNA, 2312 nt
Organism: Panthera uncia (snow leopard)
Lineage: Eukaryota; Metazoa; Chordata; Mammalia; Carnivora; Felidae
Exons: 3
Source: RefSeq, a predicted model, not a curated record